GUUAGAUGCCAUCCAUCAUAAAAUGGAUGGCUAUUCAAACUAUCCAAAUAUCUUUAGAAUUUAUAUAUUUUUUUAAUUUUUUUAACGUACGUGCAUGAGCACACAUGGCUGUCCAUCUUAAAAUAGAUGAUGUCUAAUUAUGCACAAUAUCUUAUAAUACUUUUUGAAUACCGUAGAGAAUUUGUGCUCGAGUUUAUUUGGUCCAUCUA
Molecule: long non-coding RNA, 209 nt
Filed under: Elaeis guineensis (African oil palm)
Lineage: Eukaryota; Viridiplantae; Streptophyta; Magnoliopsida; Arecales; Arecaceae
Description: long non-coding RNA (EGUI_LNC029821)
Source: RNAcentral